CUGUGGUAAUUUAUGUUAAAAAAGAGAGUCAUUUAGUUAAAAAUAUGUUCUAUACAGUCAGCAUUAGUUUUUCUGUAUCUUAUUUUGAAGGAGUAAUCUGUGUUCGCAAUGCAUUGUGGGAAGCAGACGCUGCAGUCAGUCGGGAAAAGCAUUGUACAGAAAACCUGCCUAUCUGUGUUUAAACUUCAUCUCCUGUGGCCUGAAUCUUUAUAUACACCAUCGAAAGCAAUGGCUUUUCUCUGAGCAUUGCAUGGCCUGACCUUGGAGUGAAUUUGCUGGCAUGUCUACUCCUGAUGACCUGCUCUAACUUCUAAGCCACAGCCACC
Molecule: long non-coding RNA, 326 nt
Organism: Astatotilapia calliptera (eastern happy)
Lineage: Eukaryota; Metazoa; Chordata; Actinopteri; Cichliformes; Cichlidae
Source: Ensembl